RNAcentral lists this transfer RNA (74 nucleotides) under Actinomycetota bacterium. RNAcentral's name for it is "Actinobacteria bacterium tRNA-Ile". It matches the Rfam family "tRNA". From Rfam's summary of the family: Transfer RNA (tRNA) molecules are approximately 80 nucleotides in length. Their secondary structure includes four short double-helical elements and three loops (D, anti-codon, and T loops). Lineage: Bacteria; Bacillati; Actinomycetota. The record is from RNAcentral.
GGGGCGGUAGCUCAAUUGGUCAGAGCAGCGGGCUCAUAACCCGUCGGUCGUGGGUUCGAUCCCCACCCGCCCCA